GUGAGGAAUAUUGGACAAUGGGCGCAAGCCUGAUCCAGCCAUGCCACGUGCAGGAAGACGCAUCUAUGGUGUGUAAACUGCUUUUGUACGGGAAGAAACACUCCCUCGUGAGGGAGCUUGACGGUACCGUAAGAAUAAGGAUCGGCUAACUCCGUGCCAGCAGCCGCGGUAAUACGGAGGAUCCAAGCGUUAUCCGGAAUCAUUGGGUUUAAAGGGUCCGUAGGCGGUUUAAUAAGUCAGUGGUGAAAGCCCAUCGCUCAACGAUGGAACGGCCAUUGAUACUGUUAGACUUGAAUUACAAGGAAGUAACUAGAAUAUGUAGUGUAGCGGUGAAAUGCUUAGAUAUUACAUGGAAUACCAAGUGCGAAGGCAGGUUACUACUUGUGGAUUGACGCUGAUGGACGAAAGCGUGGGGAGCGAACAGGAUUAGAUACCCCUGUAGUCC
Molecule: ribosomal RNA, 445 nt
Filed under: uncultured bacterium
Lineage: Bacteria
Description: partial 16S ribosomal RNA
Rfam family: Bacterial small subunit ribosomal RNA
Source: RNAcentral